CUGGCGGUAGGCCUAACACAUGCAAGUCGAACGGCAGCACAGAGGAGCUUGCUCCUUGGGUGGCGAGUGGCGGACGGGUGAGGAAUACAUCGGAAUCUACUUUUUCGUGGGGGAUAACGUAGGGAAACUUACGCUAAUACCGCAUACGACCUACGGGUGAAAGCAGGGGAUCUUCGGACCUUGCGCGAUUGAAUGAGCCGAUGUCGGAUUAGCUAGUUGGCGGGGUAAAGGCCCACCAAGGCGACGAUCCGUAGCUGGUCUGAGAGGAUGAUCAGCCACACUGGAACUGAGACACGGUCCAAACUCCUACGGGAGGCAGCAGUGGGGAAUAUUGGACAAUGGGCGCAAGCCUGAUCCAGCCAUACCGCGUGGGUGAAAAAGGCCUUCGGGUUGUAAAGCCCUUUUGUUGGGAAAGAAAUCCAGCCGGCUAAUACCUGGUUGGGAUGACGGUACCCAAAGAAUAAGCACCGGCUAACUUCGUGCCAGCAGCCGCGGUAAUACAAAGGGUGCAAGCGUUACUCGGAAUUACUGGGCGUAAAGCGUGCGUAGGUGGUCGUUUAAGUCCGUUGUGAAAGCCC
RNAcentral lists this ribosomal RNA (578 nucleotides) under Stenotrophomonas maltophilia. RNAcentral's name for it is "bacterial SSU rRNA". It matches the Rfam family "Bacterial small subunit ribosomal RNA", at positions 36 to 603 of the family's 1533-position model. Lineage: Bacteria; Pseudomonadati; Pseudomonadota; Gammaproteobacteria; Lysobacterales; Lysobacteraceae. The record is from RNAcentral.